CAGUAGCCGCGGUAAUACGGAGGGGGCUAGCGUUGUUCGGAAUUACUGGGCGUAAAGCGCACGUAAGCGGCUUGGUAAGUUAGAGGUGAAAGCCCGGAGCUCAACUCCGGAAUUGCCUUUAAGACUGCCGAGCUAGUAGGUGAGAGAGGUAAGUGGAAUUCCGAGUGUAGAGGUGAAAUUCGUAGAUAUUCGGAAGAACACCAGUGGCGAAGGCGGCUUACUGGCUCAUUCUAGACGCUGAGGUGCGAAAGCGUGGGGAGCAAACAGGAUUAGAUACCCCUGUAGUCCCUGUCUCUUAUAA
Molecule: ribosomal RNA, 301 nt
Filed under: uncultured bacterium
Lineage: Bacteria
Description: partial 16S ribosomal RNA
Rfam family: Bacterial small subunit ribosomal RNA
Source: RNAcentral